CAGACCUCUAAUCGGAAAAGACUACCCGCUGAGUUUAAGCAUAUCACUAAGCGGAGGAGAAGAAACUAACCAGGAUUUCCCUAGUAA
Molecule: ribosomal RNA, 87 nt
Filed under: Hamatocaulis vernicosus
Lineage: Eukaryota; Viridiplantae; Streptophyta; Bryopsida; Hypnales; Calliergonaceae
Description: partial 25S ribosomal RNA
Rfam family: Eukaryotic large subunit ribosomal RNA
Source: RNAcentral